RNAcentral lists this ribosomal RNA (165 nucleotides) under uncultured bacterium. RNAcentral's name for it is "partial 16S ribosomal RNA". It matches the Rfam family "Bacterial small subunit ribosomal RNA", at positions 373 to 530 of the family's 1533-position model. The record is from RNAcentral.
GGGGGAAACCCUGAUCCAGCAAUGCCGCGUGUGCGAAGAAGGCCUUCGGGUUGUAAAGCACUUUUGUCAGGGAAGAAAUCCUUUGGGCUAAUACCCUAGGGGGAUGACGGUACCUGAAGAAUAAGCACCGGCUAACUACGUGCCAGCAGCCGCGGUAAUUAAAAA